This is a long non-coding RNA of Oncorhynchus nerka (sockeye salmon), 903 nucleotides long. RefSeq lists it as uncharacterized. The record is from RefSeq and is a predicted model, not a curated record. NCBI's taxonomy places the organism in Eukaryota, Metazoa, Chordata, Actinopteri, Salmoniformes, Salmonidae. The transcript has 3 exons.
UAACCAUGGCAACUAGAGCCGCGUACUUUUCCCCGUUGGAAGCACAAAUCCUCAUGGAGGCAUACGAGGAGGUAAAAGAUAUAAUUAAGAAGAAAGGCAACACCGCCACAGUGAUAAAGCAAAGAGAAAAAGCGUGGCAAAGUAUUGCAGACCGCCUGAAUGCGUAAGUAGUGCACAAUUACACACUCACCGCUCCGCUGAAACAUCACAAUUACAAUUCAAAUAUUUAAUUCACAUCUCCAAAAAUGCAGUUGUACUGUAAUUAUGAAACGGUUAAAUUUUUAAUUGAAAUGCACUGCAGAUAUGAGUGAAAUUGUGUAAAGUAACUCCAUCACACUGUAUAAAGCUAUGAUAAAUUUUUUGAUAUUUUUACUGAAAACAAGACAAAAAUACCAAGUAAUUUUUUGCAGUGUGACUCCAUUAAAUGUGUGUGUGUGUGUAGAUUAAACAUGAACGGGCCAAAACGGACAUGGCAGCAGGUCAAAAUCAAAUACAAGAACAUUCUGCAGAAUGGUAUGGUCCCUGACUAAUAUUUAACAAAGCACAAGCAUAUAUUGUACCCAGAAGGUGCCUGCUCACACAUUGUCUGUACUGUUUUAGCAGUGAAAAGAAUACCCACAGACAAGGCACGGGUGGUGGGUCACCAAAGGCUGACCUUACCCCAGCAGAGGACAUGGCCUUGGAGCUAAAUAAAGGCAGGCCCGUCUUAGAGGGGAUCCCUGGGGGAAAGAGACGAGCAUAGGUUCCUCCCAAGAUGCCACCCGCUUCAUUCAAGUGCCUGGCAGCACUGUGUUCCUGUUAGAGCCACCAGCACAAGCACCAGACGAUGCUGAUCCAGGUGAAGGCCCCAGUGCAGCAGCAACAGCACAUGAUGGAGACGAUGAUGAGGAGGAGACCAUCUCU